GGGGAGAUGCCAGAGUGGUCGAAUGGGGCCGCCUGCUAAGCGGUUAUACGGGGGUAACCUUGUAUCGCAGGUUCGAAUCCUGUUCUCCCCG
Molecule: transfer RNA, 91 nt
Filed under: Anaerolineae bacterium
Lineage: Bacteria; Bacillati; Chloroflexota; Anaerolineae
Description: tRNA-Ser
Rfam family: tRNA
About the family: Transfer RNA (tRNA) molecules are approximately 80 nucleotides in length. Their secondary structure includes four short double-helical elements and three loops (D, anti-codon, and T loops). Further hydrogen bonds mediate the characteristic L-shaped molecular structure. tRNAs have two regions of fundamental functional importance: the anti-codon, which is responsible for specific mRNA codon recognition, and the 3' end, to which the tRNAs corresponding amino acid is attached (by aminoacyl-tRNA synthetases). tRNAs cope with the degeneracy of the genetic code in two manners: having more than one tRNA (with a specific anti-codon) for a particular amino acid; and 'wobble' base-pairing, i.e. permitting non-standard base-pairing at the 3rd anti-codon position.
Source: RNAcentral